CACUAUGCCUAGCCAUAAACAUAGACAGUACACAUACCUAACUGUCCGCCCGGGGACUACGAGCAUCAGCUUAAAACCCAAAGGACUUGGCGGUGCUUUAAACCCCCCUAGAGGAGCCUGUUCUAGAACCGAUAAUCCCCGUUCAACCUCACCCUUCCUUGUUCUUUCCGCCUAUAUACCGCCGUCGUCAGUUUACCCUGUGAAGGUAAAACAGUAAGCACAAUCGGCACAGCCCAAAACGCCAGGUCGAGGUGUAGCGUAUGGAAGGGGAAGAAAUGGGCUACAUUCCUUAAUACUAAGGCAUACGAAUGAUAUGUUGAAACACAUAACUGAAGGAGGAUUUAGCAGUAAGCAGGAAGUAGAGUGUCCCGCUGAAAUCGGCUCUGAAGCGCGUACACACCGCCCGUCACUCUCCCCGAACUAAAGUUUAUUAUUUAACUAAAACCCUAUACCUGUAAAGGGGAGGCAAGUCGUAA
This 476-nucleotide ribosomal RNA is filed under the name Centropyge bicolor (bicolor angelfish). RNAcentral's name for it is "partial small subunit ribosomal RNA". It matches the Rfam family "Bacterial small subunit ribosomal RNA", at positions 788 to 1491 of the family's 1533-position model. Lineage: Eukaryota; Metazoa; Chordata; Actinopteri; Pomacanthidae. The record is from RNAcentral.